UACGAAGGUGGCAAGCGUUACUCGGAAUUACUAGGCGUAAAGGGCAGGUAGGUGGUCUGAUAAGUCUGUUGUGAAAGCUCCCGGCUUAACUGGGAGAGGCCAACGGAAACUAUCAGGCUUGAGUAUGGGAGAGGGUACUGGAAUUCCUGGUGUAGCGGUGAAAUGCGCAGAGAUCAGGAGGAACACCAAUGGCGAAAGCAGGUACCUGGACCAUUACUGACACUCAGCUGCGAAAGCUAGGGGAGCAAACAGG
Molecule: ribosomal RNA, 253 nt
Filed under: uncultured bacterium
Lineage: Bacteria
Description: partial 16S ribosomal RNA
Rfam family: Bacterial small subunit ribosomal RNA
Source: RNAcentral